Gossypium arboreum is the source of this 1121-nucleotide long non-coding RNA. RefSeq lists it as uncharacterized. The record is from RefSeq and is a predicted model, not a curated record. The transcript is spliced from 2 exons. Lineage: Eukaryota; Viridiplantae; Streptophyta; Magnoliopsida; Malvales; Malvaceae.
UUUUUAGACUGUCAUUUUAUGAACUUUAUUGUUCUAGUGAGAAUUCAAUUCUCUUUAUUCACUUUAGGACUGAUCUGACUUAUCGAGAUUUCGUCUUGUGGCAUCAAUCUUUCCUUGUUAGCCCGAACUCUUCACCUUUGUUGGUGUAGCAUUCAAAACUAUACCAAGGUUCCUAUCAUCCUUGAUAGCAGGUCGAGGUUUUCUAUCAAUUUCUCCAUCUAUAUUUCCAUUAACUUCUCAACCUAAGUGUCAUCUAAGAUCCGGGCUAACUUUUCCUAUAACUUUGGUUCAAUCUUGGCCUUAGCCGAUUUUCAUCCACCUAUCACCAAGUUUUCCUUUAACCUUUGUUUGAUCCCGUUGAUAGUCAUUUAUCCAUCCCUCUUUCAGCAUUUUUGAAUCAAACCAUCAACUUGCUUCCAUAUCCAUUACAAAACUAGCCAUUCAAACCUAUCUUCCUUGUUUUCAUCCCCAAUUUUGCAAACCGUUCAAACUUACCCAAUUUAUCGAUCGGGCAACUAUUACCACUCAAAUCAUCUUUAUUCAAAAAUAAAAAUAUGGAAAUAAGCUCAAUCGCUUAUUUGAGCUGAAUCAGGCUCAUUGAAUGAGCACACAAACUCAUUGAGCUAAAAAUGAGCAAAAUUGAGCUCAACGAGCUAAGAUUGGGCCUCAUUUUGCACUUAGGCCCCUCGAGCUUAGGCCAUGCUCGAUGUUGUCGAGUUAAUUUGUAACAUGACGCGGUUACGUUCGCAUCAGUAGGGAUGGGUGGGUUGAUUUAAUCCCCACAUGGAGUGUAGGGUUGGACAGAGAUGGUGUGUAGAGGCUGGUUGGGUAGGACUUUGUUACUGAAUUUGUAUAUCUGUUAUUAACACUGUGAUGGACAAGGCCCUUGUGCAUACUGAUACUGAUACUGAUACUGAAAGGUAAUCACCAGACCUAGACAGAUCGGGCAGUGGAGGACUCGAUGGUGACCACAGUUUUUGGAUUUUUAUGAUUUAUAAUUUAUGAUUUAUGUUUUAUUUACCGUGGUUUAUUUGGAUGUAAUUUGGGGACUUUUGGGGACUUUUGCUUAAAUUUGGUUUUUAUUUAUUUUUAUGGAUUUAUAACUGCUAGACGUAGGAAAA